This 253-nucleotide ribosomal RNA is filed under the name uncultured Sphingomonas sp. RNAcentral's name for it is "partial 16S ribosomal RNA". It matches the Rfam family "Bacterial small subunit ribosomal RNA", at positions 524 to 776 of the family's 1533-position model. The record is from RNAcentral. Lineage: Bacteria; Pseudomonadati; Pseudomonadota; Alphaproteobacteria; Sphingomonadales; Sphingomonadaceae.
UACGGAGGGGGCUAGCGUUAUUCGGAAUUACUGGGCGUAAAGCGCACGUAGGCGGCUAUUCAAGUCAGAGGUGAAAGCCCGGAGCUCAACUCCGGAACUGCCUUUGAAACUAGAUAGCUAGAAUCACGGAGAGGUAAGUGGAAUUCCGAGUGUAGAGGUGAAAUUCGUAGAUAUUCGGAAGAACACCAGUGGCGAAGGCGGCUUACUGGACGUGAAUUGACGCUGAGGUGCGAAAGCGUGGGGAGCAAACAGG